RNAcentral lists this ribosomal RNA (573 nucleotides) under Bacillus sp. HPC281. RNAcentral describes it as "bacterial SSU rRNA". It matches the Rfam family "Bacterial small subunit ribosomal RNA", at positions 64 to 620 of the family's 1533-position model. The record is from RNAcentral. Lineage: Bacteria; Bacillati; Bacillota; Bacilli; Caryophanales; Bacillaceae.
GAAGUGGAUUAAGAGCUUGCUCUUAUGAAGUUAGCGGCGGACGGGUGAGUAACACGUGGGUAACCUGCCCAUAAGACUGGGAUAACUCCGGGAAACCGGGGCUAAUACCGGAUAACAUUUUGAACCGCAUGGUUCGAAAUUGAAAGGCGGCUUCGGCUGUCACUUAUGGAUGGACCCGCGUCGCAUUAGCUAGUUGGUGAGGUAACGGCUCACCAAGGCAACGAUGCGUAGCCGACCUGAGAGGGUGAUCGGCCACACUGGGACUGAGACACGGCCCAGACUCCUACGGGAGGCAGCAGUAGGGAAUCUUCCGCAAUGGACGAAAGUCUGACGGAGCAACGCCGCGUGAGUGAUGAAGGCUUUCGGGUCGUAAAACUCUGUUGUUAGGGAAGAACAAGUGCUAGUUGAAUAAGCUGGCACCUUGACGGUACCUAACCAGAAAGCCACGGCUAACUACGUGCCAGCAGCCGCGGUAAUACGUAGGUGGCAAGCGUUAUCCGGAAUUAUUGGGCGUAAAGCGCGCGCAGGUGGUUUCUUAAGUCUGAUGUGAAAGCCCACGGCUCAACCGUGGAG